RNAcentral lists this ribosomal RNA (450 nucleotides) under uncultured bacterium. RNAcentral's name for it is "partial 16S ribosomal RNA". It matches the Rfam family "Bacterial small subunit ribosomal RNA", at positions 354 to 796 of the family's 1533-position model. The record is from RNAcentral.
GUGGGGAAUAUUGGACAAUGGGCGAAAGCCUGAUCCAGCCAUGCCGCGUGUGUGAAGAAGGUCUUCGGAUUGUAAAGCACUUUAAGUUGGGAGGAAGGGCAGUAAGUUAAUACCUUGCUGUUUUGACGUUACCGACAGAAUAAGCACCGGCUAACUUCGUGCCAGCAGCCGCGGUAAUACGAAGGGUGCAAGCGGUAAUCGGAAUUACUGGGCGUAAAGCGCGCGUAGGUGGUUUUGUAAGUUGGAGGUGAAAUCCCCGGGCUCAACCUGGGAACUGCCUCCAAAACUGCAUGACUAGAGUACGGUAGAGGGUAGUGGAAUUUCCUGUGUAGCGGUGAAAUGCGUAGAUAUAGGAAGGAACACCAGUGGCGAAGGCGACUACCUGGACUGAUACUGACACUGAGGUGCGAAAGCGUGGGGAGCAAACAGGAUUAGAAACCCUGGUAGUCC